UCCAGACUCCUACGGGAGGCAGCAGUGAGGAAUAUUGGUCAAUGGACGAGAGUCUGAACCAGCCAAGUAGCGUGAAGGAUGACUGCCCUAUGGGUUGUAAACUUCUUUUAUAAAGGAAUAAAACGAGGCACGUGUGCCUUUUUGCAUGUACUUUAUGAAUAAGGAUCGGCUAACUCCGUGCCAGCAGCCGCGGUAAUACGGAGGAUCCGAGCGUUAUCCGGAUUUAUUGGGUUUAAAGGGAGCGUAGAUGGGUUGUUAAGUCAGUUGUGAAAGUUUGCGGCUCAACCGUAAAAUUGCAAUUGAUACUGGCAGUCUUGAGUACAGUUGAGGUAGGCGGAAUUCGUGGUGUAGCGGUGAAAUGCUUAGAUAUCAUGAAGAACUCCGAUCGCGAAGGCAAGUGUCCGGGGUGCAACUGACGCUGAGGCUCGAAAGUGCGGGUAUCAAACAGGAUUAGAUACCCGAGUAAC
Molecule: ribosomal RNA, 467 nt
Filed under: uncultured bacterium
Lineage: Bacteria
Description: bacterial SSU rRNA
Rfam family: Bacterial small subunit ribosomal RNA
Source: RNAcentral